Amphilophus citrinellus (Midas cichlid) is the source of this 60-nucleotide microRNA precursor. The record is from Ensembl. NCBI's taxonomy places the organism in Eukaryota, Metazoa, Chordata, Actinopteri, Cichliformes, Cichlidae.
UCCUUCAUUCCACCGGAGUCUGUGUAAAGUGCCAAUCAGAUUUCAGUGGUUUGAAGAGUA